RNAcentral lists this long non-coding RNA (367 nucleotides) under Homo sapiens (human). RNAcentral's name for it is "HSALNT0321516". The record is from RNAcentral. Lineage: Eukaryota; Metazoa; Chordata; Mammalia; Primates; Hominidae.
UCUUCCUUUCUAUCAUAGCCUGAUGUAGUUUUUCAGGUUCCUUUGGGUCCCCUUGGCUGAGAGUGGAGUCCAUUCGGUCAGCUGGGGGAAUUUAGACUUUUACUUUUGGUUUACAGGUGAAUAACAACAUCAAGAAGAAAAUGGAAGCUAUCAGAAAAGCCUCUACCAUCCCCACCACAUCUACCUGUCUACCUGUGUGUGUUCCUAAACUCCAGCUUCUCUCAUGAAAGAACUCUCCAUGCAUCUGGCUUAAGGUCAUCCCAUCCCUGAUCUCCACUUAAGAGAAUGGAUUAAUCCAAAAGAACGAAUCUUCUCAAGAAGAAACUUUGUCAGCACUCAAAAGAAACAAUGUUUUUUAUAUGUAGUU